UGUGUAGGCGGUUCUUUAAGUUUGGUGUGAAAUCUCCCGGCUCAACCGGGAGGGUGCGCCGAAUACUGAGGGACUCGAGUGCGGGAGAGGAAAGUGGAAUUCCUGGUGUAGCGGUGAAAUGCGUAGAUAUCAGGAGGAACACCGGUGGUGUAGACGGCUUUCUGGACCGUAACUGACGCUGAGACACGAAAGCGUGGGUAGCAAAACA
RNAcentral lists this ribosomal RNA (208 nucleotides) under uncultured bacterium. RNAcentral's name for it is "partial 16S ribosomal RNA". It matches the Rfam family "Bacterial small subunit ribosomal RNA", at positions 568 to 775 of the family's 1533-position model. The record is from RNAcentral.